GAGCAAGUUACCCUCAAAUCCCAACUUUUGGAAGCCGAGUUAGAGGGAACAUCAAGACAAUUGAAGGAGGCCACUGCAAUGGCAGGGGAUGAAACUGCUAAAUGCAAGGCUGCAAAGGAAGUAAUUAAAUCUCUAACGGCGCAGUUGAAGGAAAUGGCUGAAAGGGUACCUGAGGGAUCUACUGCCAGCAGCAAAUUAGGUUCAACUGCCAGGCGGACAGCCAGUAUUCCAAUUUCUGUUAUGAAUGAGAGCCAUUUAAGCAGCCUGAACUCUCCACAACUGGCGUCUAAUGGUCUCUCCAUAAAUCCUGUCUCAUGCAAUGGAGCUAAUAGCCAAACUAAUCCAGCAGAAUGGGUGGUACAAGAUGAACCAGGCGUGUACUUGACUCUUAACUCUUUGCCAGGGGGUGGUAAAGAACUAAGGCGGGUACGCUUCAGGGAUACCUCUUUAUGGAUAUUGCUGCAAAGGUCUGGAAAACUACCAAGGAUACCUACUCUUAGGUUGGAAAUGAUGCCCAAUGCUACGAGUCAAGGAAAAGGAUUCAUGACACGAAACAGAAGCAACUGUCCAAACAUUACUCUACUCUACCAGUCGGAAACAUUUCACCGAGAAACAAGCGGAGAAGUGGUGGGUUGAAAAUAGGGUAAAUGUACACCAGCGGCAUGACAUCCGAAGUACAGAGAAAUGAGAGCAGGCCCACCAUCAGUGCCUCUACAAGAAAACAUUGGCAACCAGGUUGACUGACACCAUGAUAUAAAAGAUCUUUCAGUCUACCUGGAAUUGUAGAUCCUUUACUUCUUCCAUCUUGUUCUCUCAUAUGUGGAGUGAGCCACACUUGAAAAAUCCCUAGACCAGUGGGCAGCAUGUCGGUUGUGACGUAAGAAAGCAUGCAAGAAUUUGUACUUACUCUCAAGUAUCAAGAAUCAUUCGGUUAGGCUUCCAUCAAAGUAUCAUGGCCAGGAUUGUUCUAAGCCUAAUGGUUACCCUGAUCGGAGAUGGAAUGUAAGAUUGGGGAUCAUUUGGGCAAUCCCUAGUAUUUAAGGACGAGGGUCUGAGCUAUUAAUUUCACUGGAACAACUUGAAAAAUGACUUGCAGACAUGGCACAAGGGGAGCAACUGAAGAGUUGUGUUCUUGUCCAGAAGAAGUUAAUCCAUUAAGUAGCACAACUGGAAUUAGUUAAAGGCUCUCACUGAAAUGUGACCAGGUGCCCUUUUUAUUUAUUUAUUUUUUCCUCCUUUUUUUCAAUUAGAGGAAAGCAGGUUGUUUGUCUGUUCUAUAUCUGCUGUGGGUUUCAAAGGAAAUAUUCCAACAUUUUUUUUUU
Molecule: RNA transcript, 1322 nt
Organism: Macadamia integrifolia
Lineage: Eukaryota; Viridiplantae; Streptophyta; Magnoliopsida; Proteales; Proteaceae
Gene name: PH, RCC1 and FYVE domains-containing protein 1-like
Exons: 6
Source: RefSeq, a predicted model, not a curated record